CCACCUCGGCCACCUCGGGAAUCCUCCAUAGUGGCCGUGAAUGAUUGCUGUUGCAAAAUUUUUGUCGAUAUAUUGAAAUCAUCUUAUUAAUUGGAUAAUAUUUAACUAUUGGAUUUUAGAGGGGCCUCCGUUGAAGUCGGCCCAAAUUAGAUAUCAUGCGGAUCAAAUGGGCCCACUAAUGGACAACGAACCAGAUCAAUUCGACCCGACCCGACUCGACCCGUUUAAUGGACAAAGAAUCAAAGAGCCCAAUUCCUCGGAGUCUCCGCCUCCCCGCCUCUUCUACAAAUCAGCCCUCGAUAAGGAAGCAGCGGCGAUUGCAAUCUUCUCCUCCACCACCUGCAGGCUAUUCCCGGACAGAAGGUGGUAGCGGCGCUUGUGCUGCGCCGCGAGCGACCUCGUCCACCACCGCCUACACGCCACUCUGAACGGCCAUCGCCUCAGAUUUGAUUUCGUCGGAUCUUUUGAUGUAGGUCGAUGAGAACGCCGCAACUAUUCGACCGCGGCCGACGUGACUCCAAUCACAGAAUCAACGGCACGUUUAACGUUGAUGAUGACGAGCUCGGUACACACGGAACAGAUUGAGCGGAGAAGGGCAUUCGGAAGAGGGCUCUGAAGAAUCACGAUCCCUAGCGCAACAAGCUUUUUCCUUGUUUAGAGCCGAGUUUUCUGUUCCAAAAUAUCAAUUCAGAGAAAUCGGGGUACCUUCAACCAUCUCCAUCUUUAAAGAAUCCAAAGCAGAGCUCUCCAAGAGAGUUUUGUGGUGCCACAGAUUCACAUUGCAUUGUCAAGUGCAUGUUUUUGGUUGUCAAGCUCAUGGAUUCAAAAGCAAGUGGAUUCUUAAACUACUCGGGAAGGCAGAAAAGGCAACUCAAGGCAGACGAUAAAUCAAUAUCUACGAAUGAAUUGGUACGGAGUGUAGCGGCUGUUCUCGAGAAGACAGAUAAGUGGGAUGUGUUGCUUAACGAGCUCUGUGCUGCUUCUGCCUCUGGAAUCACCCCCUCGGUUGCUGUUCAAAGUCCUCAAGGGCAUCAAGAAACCUGACAUAGCCUUCGAGUGUUUUGCAUGGUUAGACAACCUUCAAGGUUUCGAGCAUGACAGUCUGACCUGACCUACUCGGCUACUCUUGUGGUUUUGACGACAGACUGUAUCCCUUUUGCAUGCUUCAAUCGCCGACUCUUUGCUUCGUAAAAUGAUACAUCUCCGCUUUGAUGUCACACCGGCAGAUUAUGAUUAUGUUCUGCACCAGUGGGCUCGUGUUGGGAGAUCCGAUAAAGGUCUGUCUUUGUUGAAUGAGUUGAUUGAUCGCGGAUUUAAUCCUUCAGUAACUUCUUGUAGCAUCCUUCUGGAGAAGUUGGUUCGAUCAAGAGAAGAGGAAUCCGGUAGGCUGUUGUUCCAUCAAAUACUUGAUAGAAGAGUUGAUGCUUUGGAUACCGAAACCUUCAAUGUUAUGAUGAAAACAAGGGAGGCCUUUUCUCUAGGAUGAAAGUGGAAGACUGUGUACCUGAUUUGGACACUUUUAAUAUCUUGAUCAAAGGUUCCUGCGAGAAAGGAGACAUGAAAAUGGUCUGCUAUCUGUUCAAUCAUAUGCUUGAUAUCAUCAAGGUAAAGCCAGAGAGCUAUACUAUAAAUCUCUUGAUCAAAGAGUUGUGCAAGCAAGAGAGGCCUGCUUGCGCAAAUUCUCUGUUCAAUCACAUGAGGGUGGGUUGGUCGGAUAGGAAGUUCAUGUAUAGCUCACAACUUGUGGAGUCUCUUUGUGAAUAUGGUUGGUGGUUAAAAGCUUUGAAGAUCUUCAUAAAAAUGGUUCCAAGAGGGCAUCAUCCAAAUAUCAGUCAUUACGAUAAUCUGAUGCAGCGCCUACGCAUGGAAGCAUUUAAAUUAAAGGAUUUCAUGUUAAAAAAGGCGUUUUUGCCUGAGAUAAAGAUAUACAAUGGAUUGAUAGAUGGAUUGUGUCUGAUUGGCAGAAUGGAAAUGGUUGACAAGCUAUAGUUGGAGCUUCAUGACAAGCAAAUACAACUUAAUCAGGAAACUUGUAAUAUGAUUCUCCGCCGGCAUUGUUUGUCGAGGAAUGCGACAACAGCAUUAGAUUGGACACAAAAGAUAAAAGAUGAGGGUUGGGAACCUGAUCUUGAGGCAUGUAAUUCUUUAUUCACCCAUCUUUCAGCGGAAGGUAAAGUUGAUGAAACAUUGGAACUCAAGUAUCAUAUCUCAACAAAGGACUGAUACCAACUUCUUUGAACACCACGAAUCUUGAGCUCAAUCAAUGUUGUAUGUAUGAGAUCGUAAAUGCUGGAUGCUGCUGCAUUAUAUAUACACACCGAGGGAAGCAAUUUUGUAACCAGCACAAGUCUACUAUGGAAAAAAUUGAUCCUAUGGUUGAUCCUCUUUGCAAUGAAGAUACUAUUUGGGAGCUUAAUGGUCUGUUAAUAAACUCAGAAUAUCUGGUUUUAAAUUGUACGAGGAUGUUAAAUUAGAGUCCCAAGGAUAUGGAUAAGCAAUAUAUUUUGAAUGACAUUGUCACCUAAUAAGAAGGUUCAAGUGUCUUCCAUGUAAACUAUACAGGAAAGAGACAUUUGUCCUUGUUCUUUUAAAGAAAAUGAAAAAAUAUCAUUAAUUGCUAA
Long non-coding RNA from Musa acuminata AAA Group (dessert banana), 2621 nucleotides. RefSeq lists it as uncharacterized. The record is from RefSeq and is a predicted model, not a curated record. The transcript has 2 exons. NCBI's taxonomy places the organism in Eukaryota, Viridiplantae, Streptophyta, Magnoliopsida, Zingiberales, Musaceae.